RNAcentral lists this transfer RNA (77 nucleotides) under Actinomycetota bacterium. Its description in RNAcentral is "Actinobacteria bacterium tRNA-Arg". It matches the Rfam family "tRNA". Rfam says of the family: Transfer RNA (tRNA) molecules are approximately 80 nucleotides in length. Their secondary structure includes four short double-helical elements and three loops (D, anti-codon, and T loops). Further hydrogen bonds mediate the characteristic L-shaped molecular structure. tRNAs have two regions of fundamental functional importance: the anti-codon, which is responsible for specific mRNA codon recognition, and the 3' end, to which the tRNAs corresponding amino acid is attached (by aminoacyl-tRNA synthetases). tRNAs cope with the degeneracy of the genetic code in two manners: having more than one tRNA (with a specific anti-codon) for a particular amino acid; and 'wobble' base-pairing, i.e. permitting non-standard base-pairing at the 3rd anti-codon position. The record is from RNAcentral. Lineage: Bacteria; Bacillati; Actinomycetota.
GCGCCUGUAGCUCAGUCGGAUAGAGCGAAUGCCUUCUAAGCAUUAGGUCGCAGGUUCGAUUCCUGCCAGGCGCGCGA